Lutra lutra (Eurasian river otter) is the source of this 404-nucleotide long non-coding RNA. RefSeq lists it as uncharacterized. NCBI's taxonomy places the organism in Eukaryota, Metazoa, Chordata, Mammalia, Carnivora, Mustelidae. The transcript is spliced from 4 exons. The record is from RefSeq and is a predicted model, not a curated record.
AUGGAUUUAAAUGUAAAGAAUUAAACCAUAAAUAUAUUCAAGAAAACACAGGAACACUGUAUCUGCUGUGUGAAAAACAGACUGGGGAGGCUGGAAGGGGCAAGGCCAGAACCAAGGAGACUACUUAGGAAACUAUAGCAAGAGUCCAGGUCUUAGGAGGAAAUACCUAAGAAGAGAUGAUUAAUUACUGUCUGAAAAGUGCUUUGAGAUCCUCUGAAGGAAGAACCAGGAUGAAACGGCCUGAGUUGUUACAGAGCAGAACUGAAGGCACGGAGGCAGACGCAGAUUGGGAGCUGCUCUGAGCAGAGCUCUGGGAGGGGCUGCGCCGAGUAACCCAUACCUGCAGGCCGCUGGGGCCUGGGCCUGUGGAAUCCCAGCAAGACGGACCCUCCUCCUUCAGGCAC